Molecule: ribosomal RNA, 495 nt
Filed under: uncultured bacterium
Lineage: Bacteria
Description: partial 16S ribosomal RNA
Rfam family: Bacterial small subunit ribosomal RNA
Source: RNAcentral
GACGAACGCUGGCGGCGUGCCUAAUACAUGCAAGUAGAACGCUGAAGGAGGAGCUUGCUUCUCCGGAUGAGUUGCGAACGGGUGAGUAACGCGUAGGUAACCUGCCUGGUAGCGGGGGAUAACUAUUGGAAACGAUAGCUAAUACCGCAUAACAGUAGAUGUUGCAUGACAUUUGCUUAAAAGGUGCAAUUGCAUCACUACCAGAUGGACCUGCGUUGUAUUAGCUAGUUGGUGAGGUAACGGCUCACCAAGGCGACGAUACAUAGCCGACCUGAGAGGGUGAUCGGCCACACUGGGACUGAGACACGGCCCAGACUCCUACGGGAGGCAGCAGUAGGGAAUCUUCGGCAAUAAACGGAAGUCUGACCGAGCAACGCCGCGUGAGUGAAGAAGGUUUUCGGAUCGUAAAGCUCUGUUGUAAGAGAAGAACGAGUGUGAGAGUGGAAAGUUCACACUGUGACGGUAUCUUACCAGAAAGGGACGGCUAACUACGUG